This 109-nucleotide small nucleolar RNA is filed under the name Sorghum bicolor (sorghum). RNAcentral's name for it is "Plant small nucleolar RNA R71". It matches the Rfam family "Plant small nucleolar RNA R71". Rfam says of the family: R71 is a member of the C/D box family of snoRNAs containing the C (UGAUGA) and D (CUGA) box motifs. Multiple nearly identical copies of this snoRNA have been identified in Arabidopsis, and it is thought to function as a 2'-O-ribose methylation guide for 18S ribosomal RNA. The record is from Rfam by way of RNAcentral. Lineage: Eukaryota; Viridiplantae; Streptophyta; Magnoliopsida; Poales; Poaceae.
AUCCCAUGAUGAGAACACUCAAGUAUGUAGUCUUGAAAGCGCUCCCAAGCUUUUGGGACUAUCUCAUCAUGUUGAUGUUGAAAACUUGAUAUCUUUCCACGCAGAGCAU